UGAACGCUGGCGGCAUGGCUAAACAUGCAAGUCGAACGCGAACGGGGCCUUCGGCCCUUAUUAGAGUGGCGAAGGUGAGUAAUGCGUAUCUAACGUGCCUUGAGGUCAGGAUAGCAUCGGGAAACCGUUGGUAAUACCUGAUGAUCCCGGUCGGCCGUAUGGUCAACCGGGCAAAGGCUUGCUGCCUUAAGAUCGGGAUACGUGGUAUCAGCUUGUUGGUGAGGUAACGGCUCACCAAGGCUAAGACGCCUAGCGGGUGUGAGAGCAUGACCCGCCACAUCGGGACUGAGACACUGCCCGGACUCCUACGGGAGGCUGCAGUAACGAAUAUUCCACAAUGCGCGAAAGCGUGAUGGAGCAAUGCCGCGUGAAGGAUGAAGCAUCUAGGUGUGUAAACUUCUGUCAGGGUUUAGGAAUUCAUGACCAGACCCAGAGGAAGAGCCGGCUAACUCUGUGCCAGCAGCCGCGGUAAUACAGAGGGCUCGAGCGUUAAUCGGAAUCACUGGGCUUAAAGGGUGCGUAGGCGGACGGGUAGUAUCUUGUGAAAUCCCAGGGGCUCAACCCUGGAAUUGCUCGGUAGACUGCCGUCUGAGCCGAACAGGGGUCGUCAAGAACGCUAGUGGAGCCGUGAAAUGCGUAGAUAUCUAGCGGAAUU
RNAcentral lists this ribosomal RNA (655 nucleotides) under uncultured bacterium. Its description in RNAcentral is "bacterial SSU rRNA". It matches the Rfam family "Bacterial small subunit ribosomal RNA", at positions 30 to 708 of the family's 1533-position model. The record is from RNAcentral.